This 236-nucleotide unclassified non-coding RNA is filed under the name Hevea brasiliensis (rubber tree). Lineage: Eukaryota; Viridiplantae; Streptophyta; Magnoliopsida; Malpighiales; Euphorbiaceae. The record is from RNAcentral.
UACCUUGAAUUGGUAGACUGCUAUUGAAUUAAUUGAAUUUCAAAUCCAACAAUUUUAAUUUUUUUCAAGUUGCCUAGUUUUUUAUCAUGUAACUAAUAGUAGAAAAGUUGAACUUUAGAAAGGAAAAGAAUAUAAAACAAAAAUAUAAAGUAAUAAAAUUGGUAAAGGGAAUUAAUUGGAUGUUCUUAAAGAUGAAUUUAAAUAAAACAUACCUUUGCUAGGAAAGGAACCUUCCA